Molecule: long non-coding RNA, 614 nt
Organism: Coregonus clupeaformis (lake whitefish)
Lineage: Eukaryota; Metazoa; Chordata; Actinopteri; Salmoniformes; Salmonidae
Exons: 4
Source: RefSeq, a predicted model, not a curated record
CCAACAACAACCACAGCUGCUCCCACAACAACCACAGCUACUCCAACAACAACCACAGCUGCUCUGACCACAGUUACAGCUGGUUCAUCAACCACUACUACAACACCGGCCCCUGCAAUACCAGAGGUUAUGUUGAAGUUCAAAUUGGAGAAAAACUUCACAGCGGACUUGAAUAAUGCGUCUUCACCAGAGUUCCAAGCAUUAGCAAGCACUGUGGCUACAGCGCUGGACAAUGUGUAUAAAAAUAAAUAUGGAUCCAGUUUCAAUCGCACAGAGGUUCUAGGUUUCAGUCAAGGUUCAGUUGUGGUAAUCACUAAGCUGGUAUUUAAUGAUAUCAGUUCAGUCCCUGAGACCAGUGAUGUGGCUGCCACGAUGUUAGAGGCAAUAUCAAGCAACAGCUCUAAUUUCUCUCUCCCAGUGAACACAGCCUCUGUUGUAGCGACAAAGAUGAUCGUACAAACUCAAUCCCCAGAAGCCACACCAACCACAGCUGCUCCCACAACAACAACAGCUUCCCUCAUAACAACCACUGCUGCUGCUACGACAACAACAGCUGUGGUUACAACAACCACAACUGCUCCAACAACAACCACAGCUGCUCCCACAACAACCAC